RNAcentral lists this ribosomal RNA (448 nucleotides) under uncultured bacterium. Its description in RNAcentral is "bacterial SSU rRNA". It matches the Rfam family "Bacterial small subunit ribosomal RNA", at positions 355 to 825 of the family's 1533-position model. The record is from RNAcentral.
UGGGGAAUCUUGGACAAUGGGCGAAAGCCUGACCCAGCAACGCCGCGUGAAGGAUGAAGUAUUUCGGUAUGUAAACUUCGUAAGAAUAGGAAGAAUAAAUGACGGUACUAUUUGUAAGGUCCGGCUAACUACGUGCCAGCAGCCGCGGUAAUACGUAGGGACCAAGCGUUGUUCGGAUUUACUGGGCGUAAAGGGCGCGUAGGCGGUGUGUCAAGUCAGUUGUGAAAUCUCCGAGCUUAACUCGGAACGGUCAACUGAUACUGUCACACUAGAGUACAGAAGGGGCAAUCGGAAUUCUUGGUGUAGCGGUGAAAUGCGUAGAUAUCAAGAGGAACACCUGAGGCGAAGGCGGGUUGCUGGGCUGAUACUGACGCUGAGUGCGCGAAAGCUAGGGUAGCAAACGGGAUUAGAUACCCUCGUAGUCCCUGAGCGGGCUGGCAAGGCGCAU